Oreochromis niloticus (Nile tilapia) is the source of this 2529-nucleotide long non-coding RNA. NCBI's taxonomy places the organism in Eukaryota, Metazoa, Chordata, Actinopteri, Cichliformes, Cichlidae. The record is from Ensembl.
AUGGGGUCAUUUUUACAGAUGUACUGUCCCUUCUGUGGACACCUCUUGGCAGACAGUCCUGCCUUUUGUAGUCUAUGUGGUAAAAACAUCAAGUUUUUAAAGGACAUCACCAGCACUGUGUCGAGAAAUCCUGCCCUUGGUGAAGAGGCAGCAGCUCUUCCAUCUACCAGUUCCAGCAUCCUGACUGGCACAACUAUACAGUCUACACAGGCUGGGAAAUCAUUAGUGGAGUCAUUUAUAAAAUUUAGGGAUGUGAAAGAAAGGGAGAGAAAGGCCUUUUUUUCAAAGAAACACCAGGAACAGAAGGAACAUAAACCAGUGAAGGUAUGUCAUAAACUUGAACGUGGAAGUUGAUCACUUUUGUUGCUAAUACAAAAUCCAAAUUACCUGUAGCACUGCCAAGGCAUAUAGAUCAACUUACCUCAGAAUAUAUAAAGCAUAUAAACAAUUACAGCAAUAUGAUGCAACAAACACAGCAGUGCUACUAAUCCAAAAUACUCAAAGCUUCAUAGAACUGAAACAAACAUUUAUUGUUAGCUCCAUUCUGCUGCUGAUACAUACUUUAGGUUUCUGAAUAUUAAACUUGUUGCUGCCUUUCAUAGUGUGUAACUUGAAGGCCCUGAGUACUUUCUCCCACACUGAAAACACUGGGAUGAUCACAUUAUUUGAACAUUACCUAAUAAGACUGAUUCAGGACAGACAAUUAGUUAUGUUAAACUUUCCUAGCAGUCCUUCACAAACAGGGAACAGUCUGUCUAUUCUCUCCAUCUGUCAGCUGCUGCUGGCUCUUCCUCCUCCUCUUCCUCACACACUGCUGAGUUUGUCCUGGUGGAUCAUCAGGGGUGCAAAGCCUCACAGAUGAUGUGCAGCAGUGGGUCCCUCAGUCUGUCCUCACUCUGGACACUUGCAGUUGUCACACGUGGAAAUCAAAUGUGUGAUAAGCUGCAGGAUUCAAACACAAGUGUAACUUAUAAAUACAUGUUCAUACUUUUAUUCCACAAUCAGAGAGAAAGAAACAGAGAGAGAGUGCAGGACAGACAGACAGGUGACAGUCUCAGGUGUAGACACUGCUACAAAACAGCACAAGAGAAGGAGGAUUUAGUGUUUGUGUUAUUACGAGUGCUAAACAAGAAGAGUUCCCAGAUGGUCCAGUGGACACAUGUGUGACUCCUGUGAUUAAAGCAUCUUUCUUUCAGCUUAACGAGUGAACCGUCAGCUCGUUCAAACACACGUUAAAGUCCGUUUGGCUCGACACCACCGAACAGAGGCAGCAAUAUAACAUAGCUAACAUUAACAGUGCAGUGAAUCCUGCUUGUGCCGUCAUAUUCAGGACUGCAAACCGAGCAGCAUCACUGACUUUCAGCUUGUUGUGUUUGUGGAUAUAUGACUGACUUUAAUUAUCCAUAAAAUCAUCACAUUCUCUGUAAGAUUAAGGUCGACUAUAUAUAUAUUUAGAAGUAGAGGCUUUAAAACCAAGUUACCGCUGAAAGUACAAACAUCACUAAUGUCACAUAACUUUGCCGACAUGUGGCCAACAGUAAUGUUUUAAUGUUCUUCAUUAUUAAACUGUUAGAUUUGUAUUGUUUAUUGCCAUUUAUGCUUAGAAAUAUUUACUCAUAUAUGCUUAGAAGUAUAUAAUCAUUUGUAGAUUGAAAGAAUGUCUCAUCCUAGGAGAUCUAUAACAACUCUGUGUAGCAUGAAGAGGGGAGUGCGUUCACUCCUCCUCAGAGUGUUCUGGUAUAGAUCACACAUCUCCUAGGAGAGGUCGUAUCUUCUCCUGCUGAUAUAUGGUAUAGCAAACACACGUAUAUCUGUUUGAGUGUAAGAGCCUUUUGUUUAGAUGGACCGCUAGACUCCUGGCACCAGCUUUGGGGAGUCACAUUCCACACACACACACACACACACACACACGGUAUUCUUUGUUCACAUGUAUACCUAUGUAAGAUGUUAUAUGUUAAUGAACCUAUGCAUAUUCAUGUAACCACAAUAAAAGAGCAACUGGGGUCAAGCGAAGGAACGGUGCCUGUCCAGUUCUCUCCCGUGCACGUGAAACAUAAAGAACUUGCCUACUCGUGUCUUGCUUGCUGUGUAAUUACAUUGUCUUCAACGUUCCAGCGAAUAGGUUCAAGCUACAAACCUAUCAUAAACAUUCCCACAUAAAUAAGUGACAUAAUAUUCAGUACUUACUUUUGACAGCUCACUCUUCGGCCGCUCCCUUCUGCCGUAUUUUGCGGCAAAAUUAUCCACACCCACCGCCGCGCUAUGAAUUGUGGGAUAUAUGGGACCACGAAGCGUGCACCGGACCACGCUUGAUAUUUGGGGAAAUCGACGGUGCAUUUGAAGUACACUUCAAAUUGGGACAGCUGACCUACCUAUGUAGGUAGUGAGCGGCUGUGGACAGCCCCCUUUUUUUUUCUCCAUACAAACUUUAUUGACCAAACAAUGAGUAUACAACAUAUAAACGGCUGUGGACAGCCUGCCUUCGUUCAAGUUUGCCCUUAAUUCGAGGUUUUCUGAUCGCUAACGCCA